AAAGGUGAUAUCAUAGUUUUGAUAUAUAAAAGGGAAUCCGGUGAGAAUCCGGAACGAUACCGUCACUGUGUAAGGGAGCUGCUCUUAAAGACCACUGGGAAACCGGGAAGGAAGAGCGGCGAUGAACAAAGUCAGGAGACCUGCCUUGGCGU
Molecule: non-coding RNA, 152 nt
Filed under: uncultured Blautia sp.
Lineage: Bacteria; Bacillati; Bacillota; Clostridia; Lachnospirales; Lachnospiraceae
Source: RNAcentral